UUUUUGACUAACUCUUCAUGGCGGGCUCCCUGCGCUUUGGUGCGGCUAACCGUAAUGGGGUAGUCUUUUCACUCUCCCUCCUGUAAAUACAUCUUUGUUGCGUUGGGAUGAUGUUGUUGGUUGCCUGCGUUGUUCUACCAAUGUUGGUAGUAAUAUUAGACCUUAUAUAUUGUAUUAUAGCUCUCCUGUUGAUAGCAUUAUAUCGGCAGGGCAGCUGAGGUGUCGAGAAAAAUUCCUUCUAUUGCAAUGGUUGAAUGUAACAGCCAAGGCAUUGAAAUGGAAUGUUUGUCGGGUCUCAUGGAUGUUGUCCUUAUUUUGUGAGCUCUGUUGGUUCUAUGAUCCUCAGGCUUGGUGAUGGCUCCAUGUGUGCAUGGGAACGUUCAUGUGCAUGUGGAAUGGCUAUCUUAUUUGAAUAAUCCUUGAUUGCCGGUUCAUGCUGUUAGAAGAGCUUUACCGCUUUGGUUGAGGUUUCUUGCAGCGUGUGUCGGCUCUCGCUUAAGAUGUGC
Molecule: unclassified non-coding RNA, 506 nt
Filed under: Fimbristylis dichotoma
Lineage: Eukaryota; Viridiplantae; Streptophyta; Magnoliopsida; Poales; Cyperaceae
Description: partial miscellaneous RNA
Source: RNAcentral